GGGUUUAAAUACAAGUUUAAGCUUAAAGAACCAAUUCAAUAGAGCAAGCCGAAAAUCAGAGACAUUGAAAAGGAAAUCUUCUAGCCAAGUCCUAAACAUACAAAAGCCCAAAUCCAUAGACUCCAAACCCUAAACUAGCAGGAAGAAAGGCAGCACCCACCAUCGUCACCGCAUUAAGCUCAAUCUUCCAACACAGCAGUAGUGUCUCAAGAAAAUACAACUAAACCCUACCCCAUCCUCCGUGAAUUGUAGAAUGGGUUAAAAGGCAAAGUAUAAACGACUUUUUCUUCGUCUUGAAGAGUUGACGGACCAAAGGAACAGACCGGCUAUAGGACUCUUGAGAUACCCUUACGACAACAACAAGCACUCUCUCGCAAGACAAGACUAAGCAACUAAGCACGCGAACUUCGAGAAUUCUUUGAUCCGACAGAAACACAUGUAAGUCUUUUAUAGGCCCUUUCACUGCGAAGCCUCAUGAUCUGCAAACCAAAGACCAAAGUAAAAGGUUAUUUACAUCCCAAUUUGGGAUGGGAGGGAGAACUUACAAUUGGACCAAAGAAAAAGAGUCUUCCCCUACCCGAAAAGGGGUAGGAAAAGCCUAUGAAAGGCCAGUCACUUGGCAAGCCCGAGAAAGAACCAAAGUAAAGGCGAAGCAAAAAGAAAGAGAGAAAAUUCUCUCUAGAAAACCAGAGAUAGAUCACUUCCAAGACUACAACUAAGAAUGCAGAGAAGUGAUUACAUAAUAUCUCGUGUUAUCUCAUCUUAUUAUACUUGAGUGAUUAAAUUCAUUAAUGCCGUUAAGUUUUUGUAUGUGAUUUGUUUGUGGCAUUUUCUUAUUAUUAUUUUUUUUUAUUCAAUGAUUGAGAUACAUGUCAAGAUUAAUUUCUUUUUUUAUUUGUAAUUAAAAAAUCCAAGUUAUAUCCAAAAAAUCUCGCAUUCUUCUUUGAACGGUUGAACUGAUAAUCAUCUCACUCCAAGAAACUGCAUUCCUCUCUGGCAUGUAAUCAAACAUUUCCCUUGCAUCCCUUAUCUCCCCACUUUGAGUACAUGUCAGCCAUAGAACUCUACCCCAAACAUGUCAAAAUCAAAUUUUAAUAACCACGUACAGAUUUUCCAAUAUCACUACCCAAAAUCACUCAAGCUUUAGAAAUACCAAGGACCAUAUUUUCAGGUACUAAAAAACCUUGAAGGAGCAAAAUUAGAACUCUGGAAAAUAGAAUUGAAUAAGUGGAAGAGGGGAAGACAUGAAGUUAACCACCAAGUCUCAAGAUAUUCAAAGUAGUAUGAAAAAAAAAAGGGGAGGAACAUUCAAACUUCCUAUUCAUUUUCUCUUUAAUAAUGGUUUUGACUUAAACAAAGCAAGAUAUGAGAAGCAAACGAACUGAGGUCAUGAACACUUGAAGUUGGUUAAGUUCCAUCUUCAAAGUGGAGGAACAAGCAGUAGCGUCCGAUCCAAGGACUUGGGCAUCAGCUUCAAUUGCAACAUUCGGCCUUAAUGACAGAAAACAGAUAGAUUAUCCGAGAGAUUGCUUGCUCUAACACAUGAUGCUGUCUAUCUAAUCUUUGUUAUUUCAAAGGAAAAGUGGAGAUUAUAGGGUUUUAAUGUUUUGAGUGGUACACUGUCAACAAAACGCUGUGUCAGAAGUCAAAAAUUCAGAUGAAAGAACAUUACCAAGAACUAGAUAGCUGGUUGCUUCAAUGCAGUCCAAAUUGUCAUGCAGGCAAUGUUCCUAUCUACAUGUACUGCUGCGCAACAUCAUACAUCAACCCGGCAGCUGUGAAUAUUUUAAAUUCAUAUUAGAGAUCGUGCCUAUAAAUCAAUUCCAUCAGGUACUCAAAACUGCUUCCGAAAGCCAACAAUUAGGAGUCCCCAUUGUGCUUACUAAUUCCAAACUAACCACAGCGCAAUAAAUUCCAAUCUGGCUUUUCCGUUAAUCACUGAUAACUGGGAGGAUUUAUGCCAAGAAUACAAAUGCUGCUUUCAAAGUAAGGCUUUGCCGAGGCAUUGCCUAUCACCCCAACGGAAUGCACCAUAGUUAUGAAACUACUAACAGUAUUGCAAUUACGAUAUGUCAUAAGCAAUUUCGCGAUAGAACUGCAAUGCCUAUCUGGGAUUCACAAGGCACCUUCCAACCUGUUUAUUCUCAUUCCAGGAAAGCCUUGUACAUAUAUAUUUGCCAUUCUUUGAUAUAGACCGGGAAAGAAGCACCAUCAUCAAUCCAAAAGGAACAAGUGCAAUGCAUUUCAACUUUCAAGACCAAAACAUGCAACUGAAAAACCAGUUAUGUGCCAUGUUAACCUGAAGCACAGAAGUCCAUCUCCAUUCUGAAACAUGCAGAGGAUCAUUAACUCCAUUCCUCUUUUUAAACUUUUGAAUCAGCAAUCAUUGCUAACUCAAAGUUGGGAUGACAAUAGCAAUCACUAGAUGGUAACUCUUCCCUUAAGUUGCUACGCAUGAAACUCGAUGGAAAAUAUCUGUGUAAUUGUGCGAGGAAUCCCAUCAAAAGAAGCACUACUCAUGUGGUGAAAUAUGCAAAUGUCCUCCAUAAUGAUCUCCAACAGACGACUGAAGAUAUGGAAAGACAAUAUUAUAUACUUGCAAGAAGAAUUUUGACUUUUUUGUAAACCUUCUAAGAAGACGAAAACAUAAAUAAAUCUCUUCUACGUCAAAUUCUAUCUUUAUUUCAAUAUACUGUUUGAGAAGUUCACACAAGUAAUGACUAGCUUCAUCACCCCAACUAUCAUCACUUUCAUCCAGAAUAUAUAGACAGUCAGAAAUUGCACGCUGCAGUAUAGAAGAUAAAUUUCCAGUUGAACCCAAUUUGUAAUACAUCUCAGCCAAAGUUCUUAGUAUCAAGCGAUUGCUAACUUUGAACUUAUCAACCCACUGUGGAGGAUUUCCACUCCAAAGAUCACUGUUCAGAAUGGAGUUAACAGAUAUGGAUUGAUUCUCAGCAAUCUUUAAUGGUUCCUGGGCAUUUUCUGUAACAGGGACAAAGGAUGAAGUUGAAAUUACUUCUCGUCUCCUGUGUGCAGGAAGCAGUUCAAGAAUAUCAGCUCUCAAUUCUUCAGGCAAUUGCUGCAACACUGAGGUAUCAACCUGGCUUAGAGAUGAGGGCAUUAAGUCAAUGUUUACAAGGCCUGCAGUUUGAAAGGCCUCAUUAUUGGAUCCAGCACCAGAAACAGGUGGUGCUGAUGGUGAUUGCUCAGAUAUAUGUUGCUUUGCCGUGUGUUCCACCAUUAUCAUGUUUAGGGGAAAAAUAUUAGAUGCAAGAGGUCCCUCACCACAACCUGUUGUCCCUAAGAAAACAAGGCCAUGACGUCACUAGAAGAACAAUAUUGCAACAGCUAUAUGGUAAGAAAAGUUACCUUGUUCUCGUUCAUGAUAUAGGAUGCAUGAAGAACCACUGCUAUCUUCCCUUUUGCCUUUACUUUGAGCGAUACAUUCUACUAACUUCCCCCCAUAAAUUUCAUUUAGUUCUGAAAAGAGUUCCGAAGGAAGACUCUCAAUAACUCCCAUAUCAAGAUCAUAAAGGGAAGGUGGCACUAUAUUAGUUCUCUCAUUAUAUAUGUUAUUGAUGCUAUCCUGUCCUCUUGUUGCUGUCGAGGCGGAGGUGAGCCAUGAUCUUAAAGAAUUUCUUUCAAGUCCUUGCUUAGAAAUGUCUACAUUUUCAAGCUUGGAAACUUGCAAGCCUACACCACGAAUGUCCUUGACAUCUAUGUGGAAAGACCCAAAGAGUUGAUUUGCUAUCCUUUGAAGCACUUCGACAUCAUCAGUAGCAACAGGAACCGUCAUUGAGUGGCUCAGAUUCUCACAAUCCCCACAACCCAUAUACUUCGUAGGCUCCAAAGCAUCUUUUCUUCUCUUUUUUAUCUUAAGGGUAAAGGUCCGCCCUUGCACUCCACAUCCCUGCAAGCGUAACGAAACCUCCUUGCAAAGGUUUAAGAGGAAAUUCCGGCUAUCUUGCAUAUCCUUAAACCUCACACCCCAAUUUACUUCAGCACCAACAGACUUACUUUCCUGAAUAACUCCAACUAGACGAUUAUCAAUUCCUCUGCUAUAAUUCCAGAGCAUUUCUCCAGUUUUCAAACCAAAAUCCUUUUGAAGAGAGUCCUUAGAAAUCAGGCGCAAUUGUCCACAAGUUGAAAUAUUUUGCUUCUUCAACUUCCCCUCUAAAAUAUACCCUAUUCCUGGAAGUGCCUUAAUUGGAAGUUCAUGUAAAUACUCAUCCACCCUUUCAGGAGGGAUGUAGUAUUGACCAUCAGGUUUUGCAGUUCUAGUAGCUAGGCGAGCCAUGAGCAUAUUCCCAGCUAUUCCAGCACUAGCUUUGCAUCCUGUAGUCUCAAAAAUUUCUUUUCUUAUUGUUGAAGCUAAAACCUCAGGAUCUAUUUCUCCCAAAUCUGUGAUAUCUAAAAAUGCUUCAUCACAGCUUACUGCCUGCACUUUGUUGCAGUGCUUGUGUAAGACAUUAUAAAACUGAUCAGCUACCUCUUCAUAAGCUUGAAAGUUGUAUGGAAAAAUGAUAAGAUGUGGACAAAUAGCUUUGGCAUCUCUAACAAAAAUUCCAGCCUUAACUCCAUAUUCUCGGGCAGGGUAGUUUGCAGAGGAAAUUUCAGCAGUUCCUUUUGGGUUGUUUGAAUGGCACACAGCUACAGGCUUAUCUUGUAACUCAGGACAGUUCCUGAUGACAACCGAGACAAAAAAGCAGUCCAUGUCAACAUGGAUGAUAGUAGUUUUCUGGGAAUUAUCAGAAGCAUUGACAGUAGAAGCGCUUCUACACCUAAACUCAUUAGAUAAGGGGUAAAAACGCUUGCGGUACCGAUUUCUCCAGGUUCCUAUAAAGUGCAAUCUUGAGCUCUUAAAGUAAUUAUCCACAAAAUUGGGAUCCUCAAGAGUUGAAUGAUGUGGAUUAGAAGGCCCAGCAAUUGACGGAGUUGGUGAUUUUCUCACAUUUUGAUUAUCUAAACAGUCACUUCUGACUGACACAGACAAUGGACAGGAUCUAGAGCGAAUUUCAUUGUUUACACUGCUUUCAUCUUCCGUAUCAGUUGGUUCUACCAUCCUCACUUCAGAAGAUUUUCCACUACUGCUACUUGGCUCCUCAAUCUUACAAUCAUGAUCCCCAAAUUGUCCAUCAAUUUGCUCUCCUCCUUUCACAGGAUCACCCACAACAAAUAAGCCUGCAUCCUGUGAUGUGCCACCUUUCAAAGAUGGGUCCAUAACAUUCAAAGCAUCCUCAGCAACUGGUCUGUUUUUAACAGCAAAGAAAGCUGACAACUUUGGUUGGUUAUCAGCAAGCUGCUCAAGUUGGUAAGGAACCCAACUCAAAAGUUUGCUAGCAACAACAGAAUCUAAAAUCCACGCAGGUUUAACUACUGGCAGCCCACCACUGAAAGACCUCAGGUUCUUUAUUUUGCCAUGAGGAAGGUUGCAGCAGAUGAUAUGUGUAACACGAUGCCUGGAAAAGUAAUUCUCAAAUCGCCCCCCAUACUUCAACAUGUAGCCACGCAGUUCCUGUCUAGAAGGAAUUGUGAAACCAUCAACAAAUAUGGAAACCCCAUCAAAUAUCGGCUUCUCAGAACUGGAACCACCAUGAGAAGAAUUUGAAGCCUCCUCAUUGAACUGGUUUUGAAGUUUCCUGUUCUUCUCCACCAUAUAACUGCCAAAAUCAGAGAAAGGAGAAGUGCGGAAGGAGGAACGAGAGGAGGAGAGGGAAUUGGCGCCCCAGGCCAUCCCUAGGGUUUUCUGAUUGGAGAUUUUGCUCUUCUUGUUACUGCUAUUGCUAUUAUUUGAAUAAUUGGAACUGUUGAGGCUUCUCUUUGAUCUUUGGCCUGAAUUAGCCGAGCGAGAGGAUUCACGACUCAUUUUCAGAAAGAGUGCCAAGGAAGGAAGAUUGCGUAUCAGCU
This 5907-nucleotide unclassified non-coding RNA is filed under the name Hevea brasiliensis (rubber tree). The record is from RNAcentral. Lineage: Eukaryota; Viridiplantae; Streptophyta; Magnoliopsida; Malpighiales; Euphorbiaceae.